AUCAGUUACAAGAUCCAAUAAAAAGAUAAACAGGAACACUUCAUCUCAAGAUUCUGUCUUUAUCUACCAACAUGUGUUGUGGUUCACUGGCAGCAGAUGCAGACUGCUGAGGUCUCUGAGAGCGAGAACUCAGACGAGGGGCCUGCGUGUGAUGCAGGGACGGGACCAGGACUAUCGGAGAUUGUGGAUUCUGGAACAGUA
Molecule: non-coding RNA, 201 nt
Organism: Pseudonaja textilis
Lineage: Eukaryota; Metazoa; Chordata; Lepidosauria; Squamata; Elapidae
Source: RefSeq, a predicted model, not a curated record